UGUAGAGUUCAUUGAUAGUCUUUACUGUUUGUGAGACGUUUUCCAUCUUAUCUUAGCAAAGUUCAUUGAGUCUUUAUUGUUUGUGAGACGUUUUCCAUCUUAUCUUAGCAAAAUGUCUGAUAGCGAGGAUAGUUAUAUGGCGCUCUCUGAGAGCGGAUCCGAGUCUUACGUCCCAAGCAUAGAUGAUUCUAGCAGCUCGGACGACUCAGGAAGA
This is a long non-coding RNA of Centruroides sculpturatus (bark scorpion), 214 nucleotides long. RefSeq lists it as uncharacterized. NCBI's taxonomy places the organism in Eukaryota, Metazoa, Arthropoda, Arachnida, Scorpiones, Buthidae. The transcript has 3 exons. The record is from RefSeq and is a predicted model, not a curated record.